RNAcentral lists this long non-coding RNA (346 nucleotides) under Mustela putorius furo (domestic ferret). Its description in RNAcentral is "lncRNA (ENSMPUG00000028375.1)". The record is from RNAcentral. Lineage: Eukaryota; Metazoa; Chordata; Mammalia; Carnivora; Mustelidae.
GCAAACUGAAAUAAAAGCUCUUGGGUAGAGAUGGAUGAUAACCCAACAAGCAUUUGAAUUCUCCUUGCGUGAUCUGGAGCGGUUGCUUGGGGAUUUUCCUGAAACCCGACUCUUGCAGAACUUCCUAAGAUAACAAGAAGUACAGCCUCAGUUAGACUCCGCAAUGCAUUCUAGAAGAGAACUCAUCUGGAUUCCCUUCACCAGGUAGCAAGUGUAGCUCUCAGCCAAAAACACUGCUUUUGACUGCCAAGGACCCACACAUUAUCCAGAAUAUUCAGUCCGUCAACUCUCCACUAUUAAUCUUAAAUUGGUAAGAGCAGCUUCAUCUGUAUGAAUUGUCGUGAAC